UACGUAGGGUGCGAGCGUUGUCCGGAAUUAUUGGGCGUAAAGGGCUCGUAGGCGGUCUGUUGCGUCGGGAGUGAAAACUCAGGGCUUAACCCUGAGCCUGCUUCCGAUACGGGCAGACUAGAGGUAUGCAGGGGAGAACGGAAUUCCUGGUGUAGCGGUGAAAUGCGCAGAUAUCGGGAGGAACACCGGUGGCGAAGGCGGCGAUCUGGGUCGAUACUGACGCUGAGGUGCGAAAGCGUGGGGAGCAAACAGG
RNAcentral lists this ribosomal RNA (253 nucleotides) under uncultured bacterium. Its description in RNAcentral is "partial 16S ribosomal RNA". It matches the Rfam family "Bacterial small subunit ribosomal RNA", at positions 524 to 776 of the family's 1533-position model. The record is from RNAcentral.